Molecule: ribosomal RNA, 1288 nt
Filed under: Sternochetus gravis
Lineage: Eukaryota; Metazoa; Arthropoda; Insecta; Coleoptera; Curculionidae
Description: 16S ribosomal RNA
Rfam family: Archaeal large subunit ribosomal RNA (bases 1047-1205)
Source: RNAcentral
AAAUAAAUAAUUAUUUAUUUAUAUUAAUUAUGAAAAAUUUAAAAAAAAUAAUUUUUAUUUUUAUUAAUAUUUUAUGAAAAAAUAUAAUUUAUGAUAGUUUAUUAGUAUUGUGAAAGAAAGAAUUAAUUUGUGAAAAAGAAAAUUUUAUUUUUUGUACCUUGUGUAUCAGGGUUUAUUAAUUAAAAAUUAUAUAUUAUAAUUUUCUCGAAUCAAAAAGAGUUAUAAUUUUAUAUUUUUUAUUGUUGAAUAAAUAUUAUAAAUAAAAUUAUGGAAGUGAAAUGCUAGUCGAUUUUUGAUAUAUCUAGUUUUUAAAGAAAAAAAUUUAAUUUUUUUUAUAUUUAUUAUUAAAAUUAAUAGUAAUUAUUAUAAUAAUAUAAUUUUAAAUUUUUAGGGAUGAGCUUAAAAAUUGAUCUAUAUAAUUUAAUUAAAACUAAUUAAUAAGUAGAAUUAUAAGUUUUUAUCUUUCAAAGUGUUUUAUAACUGUUUAAAUAUAAAAUAAAGAUUUAUAUAAAUAUUUAUAUUUUUUAUUUAAAUUUAAAUUUUAAUGGAAAAAAUUUAGAAAUUAUGAUAAAAUUAGUAUAAAAUUAUUUAUAAUAUAGAUUAAUUUUUUAGGUUAAUUAAAGGAACUCGGCAAAUAUAUUUUUCACCUGUUUAUUAAAAACAUGGCCUUUUGAUUAUAAUUUAAGGUCGAGCCUGCCCAAUGAGUAGUUAAAUGGCUGCGGUAAUUUGACCGUGCAAAGGUAGCAUAAUCAUUAGUUUUUUAAUUGAAAGCUGGAAUGAAAGGUUUGAUGAGAAAAUAACUGUCUCUAAUUAAAUUAGUUAGAAAUUUAUUUUUAAGUAAAAAAGCUUAAAUUUGUAUAGAAGACGAGAAGACCCUAUAGAGUUUUAUAUAGGUUUAUAUUUAUGUUUUUUAGAAUUAGUAUUUAAAUAUAAGUCUUUAUUUAGUUGGGGUGAUUGAAAAAUUAAGAGAACUUUUUUUGUAAGAGAACAUUAAUUUAUGAGUAAUUGAUCCAAAAAUUUUGAUUAUAAGAAUAAAUUACCUUAGGGAUAACAGCGUAAUUUUUUUUUAGAGAUCUAAUCGAAAAAAAAGAUUGCGACCUCGAUGUUGGAUUAAAAUAAAGGAUUGGUGUAGGAGCUAAUCUGUUAGGUCUGUUCGACCUUUAAAAUUUUACAUGAUCUGAGUUUAAACCGGCGUAAGCCAGGUUGGUUUCUAUCUCUAUAAAAAUAAAAUAUUUUAGUACGAAAGGACCAAGUAUUUAAUUUAAAAUUUUAAUUUGGAAUAAUAUUA